UUUGUUUUCUUUUUUCGUCACGACAUUUCUGUCGCGUUUGUUCUUCAGACCGACUACAUUGAAAACAAAGCGUUUGCGGGUCCCUCCCCCCCGGGGCGCGAGCCCGGGGGGGAAGCAACAGGUAAAGGUACGCAGUGUGGAUUUCUAACGAAAUGAAAGUAACGUUGAAAUUUUGCUAAUGAUCCUUCCGCAGGUUCACCUACGGAAA
This 208-nucleotide unclassified non-coding RNA is filed under the name uncultured fungus. Its description in RNAcentral is "sequence contains ITS1". Lineage: Eukaryota; Fungi. The record is from RNAcentral.